GAUAUUUUAAUUUAAAUUUAUUAUUUAAAAUAUUUGAAAUGUAUGUAUGAAUUUUUUUUAGAUUGUUUUAUUUUAUUAUUUGUAAUGUAAUUUUAUUUUGGAAAAAAUAAAUAUUUCUAUUAAAAAAAUUGAUUUCAUUAAAUGAAUGGUGGCGGGGCGGGGAUACCCAAACCCAACUCGAACCCGUUUGGGACGGGUUUGGGUUUUGAUUC
RNAcentral lists this long non-coding RNA (212 nucleotides) under Lathyrus oleraceus (garden pea). RNAcentral describes it as "Pisum sativum (pea) long non-coding RNA (PSAT_LNC018356)". The record is from RNAcentral. Lineage: Eukaryota; Viridiplantae; Streptophyta; Magnoliopsida; Fabales; Fabaceae.